CCCAACUAUCCCUAUUAAUCAUUACAUCGAUCCUAGAAACCAACAAAAUAGAAUCGGAUGUCCUAUUUCAUUAUUCCAUGCUAAUGUAUUCAAGCGUGAGCCUGCUUUAAACACUCUAAUUUUUUCAAGGUAACAGUCCUAAUUCCCCGUGACACCAAAUUAAUGGCAUUACGGUUCUUUAGAAGGUGAGAAAUCAAUAAUAUCAGUACAUACCAACGGUAGAAUCCCGAAAUUCAACUACGAGCUUUUUAACUGCAACAACUUUAAUAUACGCUAUUGGAGCUGGAAUUACCGCGGCUGCUGGCACCAGACUUGCCCUCCAA
This 323-nucleotide unclassified non-coding RNA is filed under the name uncultured Glomeraceae. RNAcentral describes it as "sequence contains 18S rRNA gene". The record is from RNAcentral. Lineage: Eukaryota; Fungi; Glomeromycota; Glomeromycetes; Glomerales; Glomeraceae.